CAGCCUCAACCUCCCAGGCUCAAGUGAUUCUCCUGCCUCAGCCUCCGGAGUAGCUGGGACUACCAGUGCACCCCAAUGCACCCAGCUAAUUAAAAAACAUUUUAAUUUUUUUUUUAGAGUUGGAGGUCUUGCUAUGUUGCCCAAGCUGGUCUCGAACUCCUGGGCUCAAGUAAUCCUCCCACUUUGGUUCCUCAAAGGGCUGGGAUUACAGAUGUGAGCCACUGCGCCUGACGAGUCGGGGCCUUAAAGCAGAGAUUUUCCGGCUGGAGUCAAAACAUCAAAGAUCUGACUUCUGAGAACUCUUACAGACCUUCAGGCAUCCAUCAUAUUUGGCUCUCUGAGCAGUAUUGGACCCUUCAUGAUGACCUUCUCCAUCUGGAUGGGACAGAACAAAGUGGAUUCGCUUGAGCUAGGGCAGGGCAGGAAACGCCACCAGCUCUCUCUGGGAACACAGCAAGCAGGGAACUUCUGGCGGAGAGUGAACGGUGCCACCCCAGGAGCAGAACCAACACUUCCGUCCGCAGGGACUGGGAGGGACCCUUCCCAUCUUCAGAGAUCUCCUGAUCCCCCUGAGACCCCCGGGUUCCAGGAGGAGCAUGUUUCAUGAGGACAGUCCUUCUCAAGACAGGGUGACUGGUUGCUCCCCUCCCACUGAGGGUGUCACAGCUGGUCCCUCUGUUUCCCUUGGCUGAGAGGGGAAAUAGCCAACAUCUGUCGUUUGCAUAAUGUGUGUGCUUUUGCCACUUAGAAUUCUCUGUUUCUAUAAACAAAUGCUUUUACAAUAAAACUGAAAUGCCAGAAAAAGAGACAACCUACUUUAAGGUCACCACUGCCUCCCAGCAAGGACGUUUAAAAAUAACCCCCGAUCUGCCCUGUGCUCACAACUCUCAUUGCGCCAGCUCAAUGGCAGGCCCAGUGCCACCAGGACAGCUAUGUGGAAGGUUCCGGGUGGGGCACGGGUGUGUGUUAUGGAGGAGGUGAGGGAGGCUGUUCUCAUAACAAUGCUGGCAUCUGGUCUGUGGGUCCACCCUGCCGAUGUCUGUGAAAGGGCAUGUGGUUGGCCCCUGUUAGACCAGUUCUGAUGCCAGUUUCCAGCUAAAGUGAAACUGCUCCAGACCUGAGUGGGAAGUGCACUGUGAGAAGUCAGGUUCACCUGGAGGGUAUGGAUGCCAGGGUGUGGCAUUGGGUGGACAUCAAGCACAUCCCUCAGGGAGUCCUGGGGCUAUUACCUCUAGAAGCUGCUCCAGCAACUCUGCCAGACAGGAUCAUAAACUUUUGCAGCUAAAUCUUGGGGAUGAACUUUUUCAGUAAUUGUCAAGCUGUGCCCCACAGAUUGCUGGUGAUUCUGGGGCAGUGAUAUGGUUUGGCUCUGUGUCCCCACCUGAAUCUCAUGUUGAAUUGUAAUUCCCAAUGUUGUGGGUGGCAGCGGGGGAACCUGGUGGGAGGUCAUGAAUCGUGGGGGCAGUUUUCCACCUUGCUGUUCUCGUGAUGGUGAGUGAGUUAUCACAAGAUCUGAUGGUUUAAAAGUGUGUAGCAUUUCCCCUUCUGCUCUCUUUCUCUCCUGCCACCACGUGAAUACGUGCUUGCUUCCCCUUUGGAUUCCACCAUGAUUACCCUUGCCUAGCUGCGAUAACAAGCCCAGGACAACCUGCUGGGUGAAAUACUUGGGACACAGUUAUAUCGCAGUGCCCCAGCCAGCAGCGAAGCAACCACUGUCAUGCAAGUGAGCUCAUCCUAGACCAACUGGCCUGCCCCAUCCCACCUGCCUGCCAACCAAAGAAGCUUGAGGGAGCCCAGCCAAGGUCAGCAAAGCUUGGCCCAGAUCAGCAGAACUGCCAGCUGACUUGCAGACUCAUGAAUAAGAAUAAAUGUUUAUGUUUUUUAAGCCUCUGAGUUUUGGGGUUGCUUGUUAUGCAGCAAUAGUGAGCUGUUACAGUUAUCUACACAGACCCACUGAAGCACGACUGCCAUGGCUGGGCCCCUCUUGCCCGACCUAAGAGGAUGAUUGCACUGGACUGUCCUGUAGAAACGCAGAUAAACAUGAUUCUUGUUCUGAAGAGCUAGACUGCGGGAGCUUUCCAAGUCUGGGAAAUCACAUCUGCUACACUCGCAGGACUAUAAACCUGAGCUGUUUGCAUCUAUAUUGGUAGCAGGCAAGUUCUGCUCAGGCCCUGCCCAGCCAACUUCAGCACAGUGAUAUUUAUCAGGGCCAGGCAGAAGGGUUCUCAGAAAGCCACCACCCUGGAGUCAGAUGUUCCAUAAGACCUCAGAGAGGACUGCCUACACGCAUCUAGGUUGGAAGCGGCAGUCGUGCGAGGCAUGGGAUGUUUUCUGAAGGGACUCAAGAAACACUUUUGAUCUCAGGGAAGGUGGUGGAUAAAGGAAAUUACAUUAACUGUUUGACUUGAGUGUGUGGUGGCCAAGUAGGCUCAUGUCAUUAAAGCCAUCCUUCAGUGGGUGCCUUGUUUAUUGAUAU
This 2476-nucleotide long non-coding RNA is filed under the name Homo sapiens (human). RNAcentral's name for it is "HSALNT0198904". Lineage: Eukaryota; Metazoa; Chordata; Mammalia; Primates; Hominidae. The record is from RNAcentral.